GCCCUCGUAGCUUAGUUGGAUAGAGCGUCGGAUUGCGGAUCCGAAGGUCGCUGGUUCGAGUCCAGUCGAGGGCG
RNAcentral lists this transfer RNA (74 nucleotides) under Candidatus Rifleibacteriota bacterium. Its description in RNAcentral is "tRNA-Arg". It matches the Rfam family "tRNA". From Rfam's summary of the family: Transfer RNA (tRNA) molecules are approximately 80 nucleotides in length. Their secondary structure includes four short double-helical elements and three loops (D, anti-codon, and T loops). Further hydrogen bonds mediate the characteristic L-shaped molecular structure. tRNAs have two regions of fundamental functional importance: the anti-codon, which is responsible for specific mRNA codon recognition, and the 3' end, to which the tRNAs corresponding amino acid is attached (by aminoacyl-tRNA synthetases). tRNAs cope with the degeneracy of the genetic code in two manners: having more than one tRNA (with a specific anti-codon) for a particular amino acid; and 'wobble' base-pairing, i.e. permitting non-standard base-pairing at the 3rd anti-codon position. The record is from RNAcentral. Lineage: Bacteria; Candidatus Rifleibacteriota.